Molecule: ribosomal RNA, 250 nt
Filed under: uncultured bacterium
Lineage: Bacteria
Description: partial 16S ribosomal RNA
Rfam family: Bacterial small subunit ribosomal RNA
Source: RNAcentral
ACGAUGAUUACUGGGUGUGGGCAGGAAGACUGUCUGUGCCGAAGCAAAUGCGAUAAGUAAUCCGCCUGGGGAGUACGGCCGCAAGGCUGAAACUCAAAGGAAUUGACGGGGACCCGCACAAGCGUGGAGCAUGUGGUUUAAUUCGACGCAACGCGAGGAGCCUUACCAGAUCUUGACAUCCCGCGAAUGCCCGUGAAGACGGGCAGUGCCUUCGGGAACGCGGAGACAGGUGGUGCAUGGCUGUCGUCAG